UACGAAGGGGGCUAGCGUUGUUCGGAAUCACUGGGCGUAAAGCGCACGUAAGCGGAUCUUUAAGUCAGGGGUGAAAUCCCGAGGCUCAACCUCGGAACUGCCUUUGAUACUGGGGAUCUCGAGUCCGGGAGAGGUGAGUGGAACUGCGAGUGUAGAGGUGAAAUUCGUAGAUAUUCGCAAGAACACCAGUGGCGAAGGCGGCUCACUGGCCCGGUACUGACGCUGAGGUGCGAAAGCGUGGGGAGCAAACAGG
RNAcentral lists this ribosomal RNA (253 nucleotides) under uncultured bacterium. RNAcentral describes it as "partial 16S ribosomal RNA". It matches the Rfam family "Bacterial small subunit ribosomal RNA", at positions 524 to 776 of the family's 1533-position model. The record is from RNAcentral.